UACGUAGGUGGCAAGCGUUGUCCGGAUUUAUUGGGCGUAGAGCGAGCGCAGGCGGUUCCUUAAGUCUGAUGUGAAAGCCCCCGGCUCAACCGGGGAAGGUCAUUGGAAACUGGGGAACUUGAGUGCAGAAGAGGAGAGUGGAAUUCCAUGUGUAGCGGUGAAAUGCGUAGAUAUAUGGAGGAACACCAGUGGCGAAGGCGGCUCUUUGGCUCGCAACUGACGCUGAGGCGCGAAAGCGUGGGGAGCAAACAGG
RNAcentral lists this ribosomal RNA (253 nucleotides) under uncultured bacterium. RNAcentral's name for it is "partial 16S ribosomal RNA". It matches the Rfam family "Bacterial small subunit ribosomal RNA", at positions 524 to 776 of the family's 1533-position model. The record is from RNAcentral.